AUACAUGCAAGUCGAGCGGACAGAUGGGAGCUUGCUCCCUGAUGUUAGCGGCGGACGGGUGAGUAACACGUGGGUAACCUGCCUGUAAGACUGGGAUAACUCCGGGAAACCGGGGCUAAUACCGGAUGGUUGUUUGAACCGCAUGGUUCAAACAUAAAAGGUGGCUUCGGCUACCACUUACAGAUGGACCCGCGGCGCAUUAGCUAGUUGGUGAGGUAACGGCUCACCAAGGCAACGAUGCGUAGCCGACCUGAGAGGGUGAUCGGCCACACUGGGACUGAGACACGGCCCAGACUCCUACGGGAGGCAGCAGUAGGGAAUCUUCCGCAAUGGACGAAAGUCUGACGGAGCAACGCCGCGUGAGUGAUGAAGGUUUUCGGAUCGUAAAGCUCUGUUGUUAGGGAAGAACAAGUACCGUUCGAAUAGGGCGGUACCUUGACGGUACCUAACCAGAAAGCCACGGCUAACUACGUGCCAGCAGCCGCGGUAAUACGUAGGUGGCAAGCGUUGUCCGGAAUUAUUGGGCGUAAAGGGCUCGCAGGCGGUUUCUUAAGUCUGAUGUGAAAGCCCCCGGCUCAACCGGGGAGGGUCAUUGGAAACUGGGGAACUUGAGUGCAGAAGAGGAGAGUGGAAUUCCACGUGUAGCGGUGAAAUGCGUAGAGAUGUGGAGGAACACCAGUGGCGAAGGCGACUCUCUGGUCUGUAACUGACGCUGAGGAGCGAAAGCGUGGGGAGCGAACAGGAUUAGAUACCC
Molecule: ribosomal RNA, 754 nt
Filed under: Bacillus subtilis
Lineage: Bacteria; Bacillati; Bacillota; Bacilli; Caryophanales; Bacillaceae
Description: bacterial SSU rRNA
Rfam family: Bacterial small subunit ribosomal RNA
Source: RNAcentral